RNAcentral lists this long non-coding RNA (257 nucleotides) under Elaeis guineensis (African oil palm). RNAcentral describes it as "long non-coding RNA (EGUI_LNC064619)". Lineage: Eukaryota; Viridiplantae; Streptophyta; Magnoliopsida; Arecales; Arecaceae. The record is from RNAcentral.
GAGCAGACUUCUUCCAAGAGAAAGUCUUUUGGAAAGAAAAAGAAGUCUGUGAAGAAGCAGAAGGUGGAUGGGAAGAAGAAGAAGACAGAACCGAAGAAGAAGGCUGCUAAAAAGAAAAAAUAUUUUCACUGCCAAUCAGAUGGCCAUUGGAAACGGAACUGUCCUCAGUACCUGACCACCAUGAAGAAUAAGAAGGAUGGUCCUUCUGGAGGUAUGCUCAUUUUAGAAUCAAAUCUUAUGGUUUCUUCUGCAUCCAG